Molecule: long non-coding RNA, 476 nt
Organism: Bradysia coprophila
Lineage: Eukaryota; Metazoa; Arthropoda; Insecta; Diptera; Sciaridae
Source: RefSeq, a predicted model, not a curated record
UUAAAUUCACUUUCCAAAUCGAAAUAUUGAAAAUUGAAGUACGUAUCAGUUUUGAUUGAGCCUAGUUCAAUGCUAUUCUAAUUUAAAUUCAUUUAAGUUUCUAAUACGCGCACUGGAAAUCAUUUACGAAAAUGCCGAACGAGAAUACUGUCUCAAAACCACAGCGACUCAAUUCUGUUGAAGGAAGCAGAAGAGGUGACUAUUACGAAACCGUUUUGAGACAUGUCAUCGAUGCGCCGAAGGUGUGUCCCCCGGGCUACGCCUUGGAUAAAAAAGGAAGAUGUCAACCAAUUUACCGAUAAGGAUUACGCUGCAUGUUUGUCUGAUUUUCUUUGUGAACGAAAGAAAACCUACAUAAUGUGAUUAUAUCCGAUCUAAAAAUACGAUUCAUAAUGAAACUAAGUGACUGUAUGCAAUUCUUAUUCGACGAAUAAAAGUUUUACCUUUUCGACAUUGAUUGAAAUUGUGUUGUGAGA